GAAUCUUGCGCAAUGCGCGAAAGCGUGACGCAGCAACGCCGCGUGGGGGAAGAAGGCCUUCGGGUUGUAAACCUCUUUCAGUUGGGACGAAGCUUCUGCGGUGAAUAGCCGUAUGGAGUGACGGUACCUUCACAAGAAGCUCCGGCUAACUACGUGCCAGCAGCCGCGGUAAUACGUAGGGGGCUAGCGUUGUCCGGAAUCAUUGGGCGUAAAGCGCGUGUAGGCGGCUCGGUAAGUCCGCUCUGAAAGUCCAGGGCUCAACCCUGGGAUGCGGGUGGAUACUGCCGAGCUCGAGUCCGGAAGAGGCGAGUGGAAUUCCUGGUGUAGCGGUGAAAUGCGCAGAUAUCAGGAGGAACACCAAUGGCGAAGGCAGCUCGCUGGGACGUGACUGACGCUGAGACGCGAAAGCGUGGGGAGCAAACAG
This 424-nucleotide ribosomal RNA is filed under the name uncultured bacterium. RNAcentral's name for it is "bacterial SSU rRNA". It matches the Rfam family "Bacterial small subunit ribosomal RNA", at positions 359 to 775 of the family's 1533-position model. The record is from RNAcentral.